RNAcentral lists this ribosomal RNA (1109 nucleotides) under uncultured Cenococcum. RNAcentral describes it as "eukaryotic LSU rRNA". The stretch from base 729 to 882 matches the Rfam family "5.8S ribosomal RNA". Lineage: Eukaryota; Fungi; Ascomycota; Dothideomycetes; Gloniales; Gloniaceae. The record is from RNAcentral.
CGCCAUGCAAGUCGGCCCACGCAUGUGGGUGCCGGCGACACUUUCGAAUUGACGGGGAUACCCUAAAGCCUGUCGCACCAACUCGGUGUGGGAACCCGCUCGAGGGCCCGUGCUAAUUACACGGGGUGGUAACAGACGACAUGGAUACUUUCACGCCGUUGGUGUGGAUACUAUGGGCAAUCCGCAGCGAAGCCUCUAAGUCCGGACGCCGGGAUAUGAGGAACGUUCACAGACUAAGUGGAAGUGGGUGGAGCGUUUGCCGCUCUGCUUAAGAUAUAGUCGGUCCCCUUGGGAAACUAAGGGGGUAAGUACACUGCUUGAAAUUUAAACACGAACGUGCGUGAUUAUAAUCCACAUCUAACGACCCAUCACGGGCGCUGCUUCUUCAAGCGUGGUGACUCACCUUGUUGAUUGAUUGUUUAUUUACGCCAGCAGCGCACCUUCCCUAAAUCUUCAGAGUUAAGGAAGGUGCGCUCCUGUCUCCCCGGUCUCGGAGAACGCUCAUGUUAAAAUUUUGAGACUGUCAAUUGCCUCGCGGCUUGACGGCUCUUAAAACGUUCCGUAGGUGAACCUGCGGAAGGAUCAUUACAGAAAGUAAACGCGGGUCAAACCGCGAACUUCUAAACCUCUGACGAUUGACUCACGUUGCCUCGGCGGGUUCGCCCGCCAGAGGAUACAUCAAAACUCCUGUUUUAACGGUGUUGUCUGAGCUACAAGCAACGAAUCAAAACUUUCAACAACGGAUCUCUUGGUUCUGGCAUCGAUGAGGAACGCAGCGAAAUGCGAUAAGUAGUGUGAAUUGCAGAAUUCAGUGAAUCAUCGAAUCUUUGAACGCACAUUGCGCCCCUUGGCAUCCCAAGGGGCAUGCCUGUUCGAGCGUCAUUUCACCACUCAAGCCCGGCUUGGUGUUGGGCGACGUCCCCUUUGGGGACGCGCCUUGAAACGCUCGGCGGCGUGGCACCGGCUUUAAGCGUAGCAGAAUCUUUCGCUUCGAAAGUCGGAGCCCCGUCUGCCGGAAGACUUACUCGCAAGGUUGACCUCGGAUCAGGCAGGGAUACCCGCUGAACUUAAGCAUAUCAAUAAGCGGAGGAAAAGAAACCAACCAAUCU